This 254-nucleotide ribosomal RNA is filed under the name uncultured bacterium. Its description in RNAcentral is "partial 16S ribosomal RNA". It matches the Rfam family "Bacterial small subunit ribosomal RNA", at positions 524 to 776 of the family's 1533-position model. The record is from RNAcentral.
UACGGGGGGAGCAAGCGUUGUUCGGAUUUACUGGGCGUAAAGGGCGCGUAGGCGGCCAGCACAAGUCAGUUGUGAAAUCUCCGGGCUUAACUCGGAAAGGUCAACUGAUACUGUGCGGCUAGAGUGCAGAAGGGGCAACUGGAAUUCUCGGUGUAGCGGUGAAAUGCGUAGAUAUCGAGAGGAACACCUGCGGCGAAGGCGGGUUGCUGGGCUGACACUGACGCUGAUGCGCGAAAGCCAGGGGAGCGAAUGGG